This is a long non-coding RNA of Poecilia latipinna (sailfin molly), 1055 nucleotides long. RefSeq lists it as uncharacterized. NCBI's taxonomy places the organism in Eukaryota, Metazoa, Chordata, Actinopteri, Cyprinodontiformes, Poeciliidae. The record is from RefSeq and is a predicted model, not a curated record. The transcript has 2 exons.
CCGUUAUGUUCACACUUUCCAACCAAAGGCGCCAUCAGAGACGCAGCUGUCGCCGGGGGGGGGGCCGCCGUACACCGUACACGCCCCCGGGCUCUGACAGCUACUUCAUGCUGUAACUGCACACUGACCGACCGUGCAUCUUGUUGGACCCGCAUUGUUUCCUUCCAUUUAGCCUUGAGGACAAAGAUAAACCUGUGAAAUAGUUUCAGGAUUCCUUCUGUCGAGCUUAAGUGAACGAAGGCGUCAUUCGUCCUCCUCCGCUGUAGCAACCUUUGUGACCGCGCGCGUGCGUGCAGAUAAAAAUAACACCUCCAUGUUUGUUUUGGAAGCUGAAGAUGGUUGUUUGUUUUUUUUUGUUUGUUUUGUUUUGUUUUGUUCGUCUCCGUCAUAAUUUAUUACUUAAUAAGACAGCUUUUUUGUUUGAGUGAGUUAAAUCGUUUUAAAGUUUUCUUCCCUUUUUCUAGCCCCAGUACAGAGAAGAUAAGCUAAGACGUAUGCCAGCCCGUGUCGGCCACCUUACCCUUGUCCGUCUCUUCGCCGUGUCUCUGAUUUCACACCUUCUGUUCAGACGAGUCGCUCUAACCUUCAGGCUGGAACAUACCGGUGUGUAAAUCCAUUCUCAGCUGUCGUCGCACCGUCUCCACGGCCGACGUCCUUUGUCUUCAAAGACAGGCUGAGUCAGGUGGCACGAACAAAGCAACGUCUGCCCACCUGUUGCCGUCUUAGGGGACAUGAGAUUGGGGAAAGUGAAAUACUUGAACAAAGCCAAAGUCAUUUUGAAAAGACCAUUUUGAUUAGACAACCUUUUCACAAUGCAUAUUCUAUUUUACUGAAUAAGACUGUAUAUAUGUUAAAAAAAAAUAAAUGUUUUGAGUUGGAACUGUUCACUUAAAGAAAAUGUUUGUGUGGCUAUUGCAAAAAUAAAUAAAUACAUUCUUAGAACAGUUAUAAGGGCUGUUGCGUUAAGAAUAAUGUCCCUCAUUGUCUUUAAUCAAAGAUGACUAUAUUUGUAAUUACGAAUCUUUCAGCUUUUUGAAUAAAUAAUAAAUAAUUAU